GAGAGGGAAAGGAAAGCAGGUAAGGCAAACACACUAGGUAAACGGAGUAGGGUCGGGAGAUCGGGAAGACAAGAGACUAGUAAACGCUUGGUACGGCACGCAAUCAUUUGCAAUGUGCUGAGAAAAUACCUCCCAUACAUUGGAUCCCUAUCUACGGUUUAUGGGGUCCCUCCUCUUCGGAUUAUAGUCACUCACACAGCUGAAUCACUGAAGCUACUUUUACAAAAGAACCUCAAAGAUGCCCAUUAAGUUUUUCUCACUCAACCUAAAAAUAUAUAUAUAUAUUUUUUAAAUAUCCGUAGUCUUGGUUUUUGGAAGAAAUUUGUACUUUGUGUUUAUCUUUAUAAAUGCAAAUUAUUAAAUGUUUUCAUUUAUUCAGUUUUAUUACUUCUACCUGAGAUGAUUAUGGAAUUAGAGCUACCCAUUGUAAACGCAGCUCUGCAAAGUCAAUGGAACUGCAAGGAUAUAGUUUAUUUUUGUUCGCCUUCACCUUUGACGUCACACACCCUCUUUUUGAUGCCGUGUACUUCAUAGGGACCCCAUGCUGACUUGGUUACUUUUGUUGUGUUUUCAGACUCAAUGUACUGUCUUAGAUUGUGCUCCCACCUUUGUCCUGCAUGUUUGUUUUUCUAUAAUACAAACAUAACAGGGGACAUUUUAAUGAAUGUGUGCUUAUAAAAACACUGUUUUAAUGUAAGAAUAUAACACAAUAUAACUUUUUCCAACCACUAAUUCCAAAGAAUAUUGUCCCCUCAUAAUCAUAAAGUACGGUUUUAAUCAGGAGCAGGGUAAGAUUUUACUCGUGGGAGAACAAGUAACUUAGUGGAAAUCAUAAACAAU
This is a long non-coding RNA of Brienomyrus brachyistius, 840 nucleotides long. RefSeq lists it as uncharacterized. The transcript has 3 exons. Lineage: Eukaryota; Metazoa; Chordata; Actinopteri; Osteoglossiformes; Mormyridae. The record is from RefSeq and is a predicted model, not a curated record.